Myxocyprinus asiaticus (Chinese sucker) is the source of this 900-nucleotide long non-coding RNA. RefSeq lists it as uncharacterized. Lineage: Eukaryota; Metazoa; Chordata; Actinopteri; Cypriniformes; Catostomidae. The record is from RefSeq and is a predicted model, not a curated record. The transcript has 3 exons.
CCUAAGAGCUGCGGACACGUAAACACUUCUAUUCUUUACAGAAAAUGUAUAAAGCAAAAUUAGCCUUGAUUUUCAAAAUUGGGAUUUUUUUUAUUUUCAGGAGGACCGUUUGUUAAUUAUUACAAGUGUCUGAUCCACUACGAGAAGUGAGAACUGUCCGACUUGACAGCUCUUAUUUCACUCCUCCCCUGAAUGCAGCCGCCUACUCUCAUCUACUUUCAAGGCGAGGCGUUUGGCACCUCGAACAAGCCUAAUUUUGAUACCUGAGUUUCUAAGUUGGUAUGAGACAAACUUUCAACAUGGCGGAAGAGAGUACAGAUUCUGUGUGGUGAGAAUUGUCCAGGAGGUAACCGAUGACAAGACACUCCCAAAAGAAGAGAGAAAGCACUUACAAGUGGAACAUACACCACACCGCAGCCAACAGGCCAAGCUGGUGAAACUAGCUGACAAGUUGUAUAUUUACAGGACCUCAAUCGUGGCACCAACACAGAUGAGAUAGUCGUACUGUUUGAGAAAUUUGUGUAAGUAUGAGUACAUUUCCAAUCUGUAGUAGUUUUACUGCUUGAGUGAGGAUCAUGUCUACUAUCUUUGUUGACAGGUUGGACAACAGAAAGGGUUCAAGAAUACUUUGUAUAGGCAUCUCAAGUGGUAAAAGGGCUUGAUGGCACCAACGCAGCGCUUGAGAAGAAACUGCAGCAGCUCCUUUUAGAAAGAGGAGUGCAGAUAUGAUGGUGCUUUUAUGAUGUAAUUGAUCAUCAAUCAUGGAAUUCUCCUUGCCACAACAAAGAUUUUGAGGUGUGUGUGUGUGUGUGUGUGUGUGUGUGUGUGUGUGUGUGUGUGUGUGUGUGUGUGUGUGUCUUUCACUUUUUCUUCUCUGUUAUAUAAUAAUGUACAAAGACA